This 307-nucleotide unclassified non-coding RNA is filed under the name plant metagenome. RNAcentral describes it as "partial contains 5.8S ribosomal RNA, internal transcribed spacer 2, and large subunit ribosomal RNA". The stretch from base 1 to 105 matches the Rfam family "5.8S ribosomal RNA", at positions 50 to 154 of the family's 154-position model. The record is from RNAcentral.
GAAAUGCGAUAAGUAAUGUGAAUUGCAGAAUUCAGUGAAUCAUCGAAUCUUUGAACGCACAUUGCGCCCGCCAGCACUCUGGCGGGCAUGCCUGUUCGAGCGUCAUUUCAACCCUCAGAACCCCUUGCGGGAUCUGGCGUUGGGGAUUGGCAUCCAGCUAGCCCCGAAAUCUAGUGGCGGUCCCUCCGCGACCUCCCCUGUGCAGUAGCGAUACCUCGCAGCGGGACAGCGGUCUGACCACGCCGUAAAACCCCCAACUUCUCAAGGUUGACCUCGAAUCAGGUAGGAAUACCCGCUGAACUUAAGC